CCUACGGGAGGCAGCAGUGAGGAAUAUUGGUCAAUGGGCGGGAGUCUGAACCAGCCAAGCCGCGUGAAGGAAGACGGUUCUUAGUAUUGUAAACUUCUUUUGUCGGGGAACAAAGGCGGAGACGCGUCUCCGGAUGAGUGUACCCGAAGAAAAAGCAUCGGCUAACUCCGUGCCAGCAGCCGCGGUAAUACGGAGGAUGCGAGCGUUAUCCGGAUUUAUUGGGUUUAAAGGGUGCGUAGGCGGAAUGACAAGUUCGCGGUGAAAUGGUCGGGCUCAACCCCGGGCCGGCCGUUAAACCUGUUUAUCUAGAGAGGGAGAGAGGUAGGCGGAAUUCGUGGUGUAGCGGUGAAAUGCUUAGAUAUCACGAAGAACGCCGAUUGCGAAGGCAGCAUACCG
This 396-nucleotide ribosomal RNA is filed under the name uncultured bacterium. RNAcentral's name for it is "partial 16S ribosomal RNA". It matches the Rfam family "Bacterial small subunit ribosomal RNA", at positions 338 to 731 of the family's 1533-position model. The record is from RNAcentral.